CAGCAGACGGGUGCGGUAGGCGCUCGGGCUUCCCAUCAGCCCGGCAAUUUGGAAGCAGGUUUCCCUCGCCCCUUCCUGGAAGGCGUGGCCCCAUUUGCAAGUUGUACAUCUGUUCUCUUCACGUGACAUUUCAUAAAAGCCCUAACAUCUGGGCAAGAUAAACUUCCUUCAGAUGCAGGGAAAACCGCCUGACAUCAUGAGAGCGGGACAAACGCUCACUUUGAAGGGUUCCUGGGCAGGACUUCAAGUGAAAUCAUAUGCCUGAGAAGAACUUGAUACCGGUCUAGAGAAAAUAACCAGUUCUGAGUUUGCCAAACCGUGGAAUGUGCAAAAUGCUCGACUUUUUUGCAAGAGGCCAAGUGUCCCUUAAAAAGCUCCAUUAUGAACAUGAGCCUGAAGACCGAAGGAAGGAGCAAGAAGCUUGUGCCGUUGUUGGGGGGCAAAGUGCACCUAUUGUGUGAGUUUCUGCUAUUUAACGUUAGGUUAUAACGUGUCCCACCAUGAGAAAGCUACCUGCAACUGUGCAUGAAUUCUCAUCGGUGCAUGUGCUGAGCCAGUGUGUGCACAAAGAGGGGAAAUGUGUGUGUGUGGUAACAAAAACUUGCUGCUUUCUUAUGACUGAAGGCUAUCAAUCCAACUACAUUAAGAGCAAGAGUUUUCAAAAAUUAUGUGCCUAGUACAGGAAACAGUCUUCCUCAGUUGUUUAGAAUUCACCCAAGACAAUUCAAUACAAUACUUUCCCUCCAGUGAAUACAUUCUGGCUGAAGGGUUAAUUUAAGACUCCAGAUCCAGCCACCACAUGAAAUUCUCACUUCUGAAACAGAGGUAAAUCAUUCUAAGUGUCCUUUAAAUAAGAAGAGGUAGCAAAAAUAAAAUGGAACAGAAAAUAAUGGUAGAGAGAAAAAAAACAGGUGGCUUUAUUUCUAUUCUAAAAAAGAAUUAGC
Long non-coding RNA from Rhinolophus ferrumequinum (greater horseshoe bat), 944 nucleotides. RefSeq lists it as uncharacterized. Lineage: Eukaryota; Metazoa; Chordata; Mammalia; Chiroptera; Rhinolophidae. The record is from RefSeq and is a predicted model, not a curated record. The transcript has 3 exons.